UACAUUUAAGUGUAUGAUGCACGUCAGUUUUUGAUACUGAAAGAGGCAGUUUGAUUCUGCCAUAUGUAA
Molecule: transfer RNA, 69 nt
Filed under: Filchnerella tenggerensis
Lineage: Eukaryota; Metazoa; Arthropoda; Insecta; Orthoptera; Pamphagidae
Also listed under: 1 other name
Description: tRNA-Gln
Rfam family: tRNA
About the family: Transfer RNA (tRNA) molecules are approximately 80 nucleotides in length. Their secondary structure includes four short double-helical elements and three loops (D, anti-codon, and T loops). Further hydrogen bonds mediate the characteristic L-shaped molecular structure. tRNAs have two regions of fundamental functional importance: the anti-codon, which is responsible for specific mRNA codon recognition, and the 3' end, to which the tRNAs corresponding amino acid is attached (by aminoacyl-tRNA synthetases). tRNAs cope with the degeneracy of the genetic code in two manners: having more than one tRNA (with a specific anti-codon) for a particular amino acid; and 'wobble' base-pairing, i.e. permitting non-standard base-pairing at the 3rd anti-codon position.
Source: RNAcentral